UAUACCGCAACAGCAGCAGUAAUGCAAUGUGACGCCAAUUGUAGAUAAUGCACACUCAACCCAAUUCUAUACCACUUAUCGCCGCCCCACCACUCCCUUGGUGCUAUCACUUUUGUUAUAUAUAUUCCAAAGUAACGCGCCGGCGUUAAGCAACAGCGCAGUCGACCCAGUUGAUUUACGUGUACACAACCUCAUUCCCAUACAGCCAUAAAAGCUGCACAAUGUAUUUUAUUUCUUGCCACCGCUUGUCACUGUUCCAAUUGCGCUAUUGCUGCCAACGCAGCGUUUGGCCUCAGCCCCAUUACAAAGCUUUGUUGUGCACCGCUCGUUCCUACCUUAAAUUAUAAUGCAUGAGCUAAAUAGUAGUAACUUGUCGUCAUGUGUUUUACGAUUGUCCAAACAUUGAACUGGCAAAACCGGGAAAGUGGAAAGUGUGUGGGUAUUAUUAGACAAAUUGUACCGUUGGCACAUGUGAUGAUGGCUGCUGCUCCGUUGGAAAUCUCUUUUACGGUAUAUGAUGCACACAUAUGUGUAUGUAUGUACGUUGGGAUUUAUGUACACAUGAAUAUGUAAGGUUCGUACUACUCGUAUAGGGGUCACUCACCUUUCCGCACGUCGCACAUUCGGCAUUUAAAUGCCUCAGCUGUAUUUCUGUACGUACAGACGCUGCAGUCCCAGAAAUUUUCCUCGAUCGCUU
Anastrepha ludens (Mexican fruit fly) is the source of this 697-nucleotide long non-coding RNA. RefSeq lists it as uncharacterized. NCBI's taxonomy places the organism in Eukaryota, Metazoa, Arthropoda, Insecta, Diptera, Tephritidae. The transcript is spliced from 2 exons. The record is from RefSeq and is a predicted model, not a curated record.